This 785-nucleotide ribosomal RNA is filed under the name uncultured bacterium. RNAcentral describes it as "bacterial SSU rRNA". It matches the Rfam family "Bacterial small subunit ribosomal RNA", at positions 8 to 786 of the family's 1533-position model. The record is from RNAcentral.
AGAGUUUGAUCCUGGCUCAGAUUGAACGCUGGCGGCAGGCUUAACACAUGCAAGUCGAGUGGAGAUGAGGUGCCUGUACCUUAUCUUAGCGGCGGACGGGCGAGUAAUGCUUAGGAAUCUGCCUAUUAGUGGGGGACAACAUUCCGAAAGGAAUGCUAAUACCGCAUACGUCCUACGGGAGAAAGCAGGGGAUCUUCGGACCUUGCGCUAAUAGAUGAGCCUAAGUCGGAUUAGCUAGUUGGUGGGGUAAAGGCCUACCAAGGCGACGAUCUGUAGCGGGUCUGAGAGGAUGAUCCGCCACACUGGGACUGAGACACGGCCCAGACUCCUACGGGAGGCAGCAGUGGGGAAUAUUGGACAAUGGGGGGAACCCUGAUCCAGCCAUGGCCGCGUGUGUGGAGAAGGCCUUAUGGUUGUAAAGCACUUUAAGCGAGGAGGAGGCUACUGAGACUAAUACUCUUGGAUAGUGGACGUUACUCGCAGAAUAAGCACCGGCUAACUCUGUGCCAGCAGCCGCGGUAAUACAGAGGGUGCGAGCGUUAAUCGGAUUUACUGGGCGUAAAGCGUGCGUAGGCGGCUUUUUAAGUCGGAUGUGAAAUCCCCGAGCUUAACUUGGGAAUUGCAUUCGAUACUGGGAAGCUAGAGUAUGGGAGAGGAUGGUAGAAUUCCAGGUGUAGCGGUGAAAUGCGUAGAGAUCUGGAGGAAUACCGAUGGCGAAGGCAGCCAUCUGGCCUAAUACUGACGCUGAGGUACGAAAGCAUGGGGAGCAAACAGGAUUAGAUACC